GGGUGCUUAGCUGGUAUCCCGUAUCUCCAUACAAGAGAAUGAGAUUUUGACUUGAUCGGUAUCUUCUGAGGAGGCACGUAGGGCCCUUUGGUCUCUUGGAGAAGAUAAGGCCCCAGGGCCUGAUGGCUUUCCUCCGCUCUUCUUUCGUUGGUACUAGUCGAUCAUUCAGCAGGAGGUAGUGGAGGCGGUGUAGGCAGCCUUCGAGUCCAGAGGUAUUUUGGUGGCAUGGAAGCG
Molecule: long non-coding RNA, 234 nt
Filed under: Elaeis guineensis (African oil palm)
Lineage: Eukaryota; Viridiplantae; Streptophyta; Magnoliopsida; Arecales; Arecaceae
Description: long non-coding RNA (EGUI_LNC006351)
Source: RNAcentral